GAAGAUGUAACGGGGCUAAACCAUGCACCGAAGCUGCGGCAGCGAACGUAUCACCCAAGACAACUUUACGGAGUUGACGAUUGACGGAGCGAAGCGACGUCAAAGCGUUCAUUAAAGUCGAGUUGGCUUAGGGAUACGUUCGUUGGGUAGGGGAGCGUUCUGUAAGCCUGUGAAGGUGUGUCGUGAGGCAUGCUGGAGGUAUCAGAAGUGCGAAUGCUGACAUAAGUAACGAUAAAGCGGGUGAAAAGCCCGCUCGCCGGAAGACCAAGGGUUCCUGUCCAACGUUAAUCGGGGCAGGGUGAGUCGACCCCUAAGGCGAGGCCGAAAGGCGUAGUCGAUGGGAAACGGGUUAAUAUUCCCGUACUUGGUGUUACUGCGAAGGGGGGACGGAGAAGGCUAUGUUGGCCGGGCGACGGUUGUCCCGGUUUAAGCGUGUAGGUGUGUGUUCCAGGUAAAUCCGGUUCACUUUAACACUGAGGCGUGACGACGAGGCACUACGGUGCUGAAGCAACAAAUGCCCUGCUUCCAGGAAAAGCCUCUAAGCAUCAGGUAACACGAAAUCGUACCCCAAACCGACACAGGUGGUCAGGUAGAGAAUACCAAGGCGCUUGAGAGAACUCGGGUGAAGGAACUAGGCAAAAUGGUGCCGUAACUUCGGGAGAAGGCACGCUGACACGUAGGUGAAGUGAUUUACUCAUGGAGCUGAAGUCAGUCGAAGAUACCAGCUGGCUGCAACUGUUUAUUAAAAACACAGCACUGUGCAAACACGAAAGUGGACGUAUACGGUGUGACGCCUGCCCGGUGCCGGAAGGUUAAUUGAUGGGGUCAGCGUAAGCGAAGCUCCUGAUCGAAGCCCCGGUAAACGGCGGCCGUAACUAUAACGGUCCUAAGGUAGCGAAAUUCCUUGUCGGGUAAGUUCCGACCUGCACGAAUGGCGUAAUGAUGGCCAGGCUGUCUCCACCCGAGACUCAGUGAAAUUGAACUCGCUGUGAAGAUGCAGUGUACCCGCGGCAAGACGGAAAGACCCCGUGAACCUUUACUAUAGCUUGACACUGAACAUUGAGCCUUGAUGUGUAGGAUAGGUGGGAGGCUUUGAAGUGUGGACGCCAGUCUGCAUGGAGCCGACCUUGAAAUACCACCCUUUAAUGUUUGAUGUUCUAACGUGGACCCGUAAUCCGGGUUGCGGACAGUGUCUGGUGGGUAGUUUGACUGGGGCGGUCUCCUCCUAAAGAGUAACGGAGGAGCACGAAGGUUGGCUAAUCCUGGUCGGACAUCAGGAGGUUAGUGCAAUGGCAUAAGCCAGCUUGACUGCGAGCGUGACGGCGCGAGCAGGUGCGAAAGCAGGUCAUAGUGAUCCGGUGGUUCUGAAUGGAAGGGCCAUCGCUCAACGGAUAAAAGGUACUCCGGGGAUAACAGGCUGAUACCGCCCAAGAGUUCAUAUCGACGGCGGUGUUUGGCACCUCGAUGUCGGCUCAUCACAUCCUGGGGCUGAAGUAGGUCCCAAGGGUAUGGCUGUUCGCCAUUUAAAGUGGUACGCGAGCUGGGUUUAGAACGUCGUGAGACAGUUCGGUCCCUAUCUGCCGUGGGCGCUGGAGAACUGAGGGGGGCUGCUCCUAGUACGAGAGGACCGGAGUGGACGCAUCACUGGUGUUCGGGUUGUCAUGCCAAUGGCACUGCCCGGUAGCUAAAUGCGGAAGAGAUAAGUGCUGAAAGCAUCUAAGCACGAAACUUGCCCCGA
Molecule: ribosomal RNA, 1738 nt
Filed under: Salmonella enterica
Lineage: Bacteria; Pseudomonadati; Pseudomonadota; Gammaproteobacteria; Enterobacterales; Enterobacteriaceae
Description: partial 23S ribosomal RNA
Rfam family: Bacterial large subunit ribosomal RNA
Source: RNAcentral